This 325-nucleotide long non-coding RNA is filed under the name Mustela putorius furo (domestic ferret). RNAcentral's name for it is "lncRNA (ENSMPUG00000028434.1)". Lineage: Eukaryota; Metazoa; Chordata; Mammalia; Carnivora; Mustelidae. The record is from RNAcentral.
GGAAACUCCUCCUGACUGUCCCCUUCCUGAAGCCACAAGAAUAGAAGCCUUCCAUCAAGUUUGCCAAGUACAUAAACGCCUCGUGAAAACGGGAUUUUAAGGACAUCGACUGAGAGAUGAAUACCAUAUCUUGGUCAACAGAACAGAACAAAGGCUGCCCACAUGGGAUGUCUUGAUAAGCCAUCACUGGAACUUAGCAGGAACAGGAGUUCGGCAUCAGAGCUGCAGCGACCAACAACAUUCCAGAUGGUGAACCUGAGUAUCCGAGAGAGGCCAGUGUGGAGCGGAGACCCCACCAACCCACAGUGGAUGUGAAGCAUGUGUG